Non-coding RNA from Procambarus clarkii (red swamp crayfish), 2340 nucleotides. The record is from RefSeq and is a predicted model, not a curated record. Lineage: Eukaryota; Metazoa; Arthropoda; Malacostraca; Decapoda; Cambaridae.
GGACUCAUGGUGUGAUAUAUAAUAAUUACUUAAAUGUUCAAAAUGCAAAAAAUCACCACAAACGCGGAAUUUCUUAUAGGCCCGAUCAUCACUAAGUGGGCAGCUGUAGUAAACUGAGGCAGGUCAAACCAUGCGCUCGGUCAACACGAACGUGUACCAACAAAUAUCGUUAGUCGACGACAGUCGCAUUUUUCGAUGAAAUUUACAUCGUAACUCGAAAUUAUCGUAAGUCGGGGCAAUCGUAAGUCGAGGUGCCACUGUAUAUGGGCAAAUGGAAGAACAAAACAUUACCAAUACCAUAAGAUAAAAUAUAUCAUGUGAAAAACUGGCCUUUUGUCAUUAUUUCACAUUUGUUAUUCAUUCUUGACAUUAUUUAUCAUUCAUUUUUGUUUUUAUUCCUUCACAUACUGUACGUGUUUGUCCCACAAUAUCAUAUAUAUAAAUAAAUGAAAAAACACAUCUGUUCUCACCACCCAACGAUGUUUGUUGAGCAUGAGUUGAGCAUUAGGUUGAACCACUCCACCUGCUCCAGGAAAAGGUUUCCUGAAGUUUCUCAACCCAUGUUCUAAAUGUGGAGUGAAUAGGGGUAAGCAUUACUGCUUAUCCACCCAGUAUGUCACCUUACGAUGGUACAAGUUGGAGCAUGGUGCAGCACACAGUGCCACACCACACAACUUGCACUUAUACCUGGUGUCCUUCCUUUUACCAGACUUGUAGCAGAUAUGACACUUUAUACCUUUCUCGAUGCGAAUUAGGGAAUGGUUCAAGUUCCUGUUCAGACGUUCGGAUUUAUCCACAACACAAGGGUUUCUCCUAGCGGCAGCACCACAAGAAGUUAUCUGACGCUCUUCUUCUGAGUCAGAUGAUGAAUUAUCAUCUCCAGGCAAAGAAGGGAAUAGUGGCCGCCUCACACCUGAUGGUCCGGGUGAUGCAACAUUGUCGCUAGUAGAUCUGCUCUCGUCGUCAUGUACAUAACCAGCAUGAAUGAUGUCAUGUUGCAGAGGCCAAUUCUUAUACUCUAACUUCAGUAGUGACCAAAUGAUUACUUCAUGGAACUGGAGCAAACAGAGUUUCUUUGUAUCAGUUGUGUAAUACUUGUAUAGCACAAAAGCAUUAUGAUAGCCAUUUGCAGAAAGUAGAACGUGAUUUUCUUUGUCCACUUGUGACAUUUCCGUGUGAAAUGAAAAUAUUUGACCAUUUGGUCGAAGUGAUCAACACUGUGCAUGUGGUUAGUGUAGUCACAGAUUGCCUUUGGUUUGUUCACAGUGACCUGUUGCAAUGAUGUUCUGUCAGGUUUGCUUACUCGUUUCCGUCGUUCUACUUCUUGUGUAUCUGCAUUGUGGCAAGUUGUGAUGAGUGAAACAACUUGCUUAUCUUCUUACAGAUUUAAUACAAUCCAGUUUUACUAGUCUCCCAGCCAUAUUGGUGUUGCCUCCAGUGACCUCGUAAAUGCCGCCACUAAGGAGACCAUUUUACCCGUCUCAUUUCCCACUAACUGCUGCUGUCACAAAAAAGGUCUCGAGGAUAGGUCACAUUUGAUAGUGUUUUGUUAUUUAUAAAAGUUAACCAUCUAUUUCUCCAACGGUUGUGGAUUGCAUCAAGAAUGAUGGAAGAAAUUCAAAAUAAGGAGGUAAGGCAAGGUAAUUAUCAGGACAUAGCACUAAGACAUUACGAGUAUACAGUAUAGUACUUGGAAGGAAUAAGAGGGAAGGAAUAGUGCCCAGCCAUUUGGAAGGUCAACGUUCAAUCCCCAACCGUCCAAGUGGUUGGGCACUAUCCCUCUGUCCUAUCCUAAAUCCAUAUCCUCAUGAAAAUUCUCGUCUAAUCUCCUACCACCAUUAUCACGUAGGUAUUUGAGGCUACAACAUCUUGUGCUAUAAGCAUUAUGAAUUUAUAUGCAGUAUUGAUUGUGCUAUAACUUUUCUGGCAUCUUUCAGUAGUGUUCUCAUAGUCAUUACUGUAUUUGGAAAGAUUGCAUAGUAUUUAUGAAUGUGCUUUAUUUUAUACAUUUGUUCUGCUCAUUUCUUAUUAAACAUUCAAUAUUUUAACUCAAGUGUGUUGCCUUAUUUGCAACUAAAUAUAACUGGCUUUUUUAUUUAGUUUUUGAGCUUAACAACUGGCUAUUUCCAUUCUCGGCAACAUUUAGAAUACUGUAUCUUUUAACAUAGAAAUAGUUGUUUUCUACCCUUGCCAUUACCUGUAAUGACUACAGUGAUCAUAAUGUACUAUACAUACUGUGCUUUGCAUCUCGGAGCUGUUAUCAUCAUUAGGUAUAUGUAAUACCUUGUUAUUAUUUCCUUCUGUUUAGCUGUAUUUAUUGAAAUAAAUUUUUUUGAGUCA